RNAcentral lists this ribosomal RNA (725 nucleotides) under Streptomyces sp. UMAF16. Its description in RNAcentral is "partial 23S ribosomal RNA". It matches the Rfam family "Bacterial large subunit ribosomal RNA", at positions 1218 to 1817 of the family's 2925-position model. The record is from RNAcentral. Lineage: Bacteria; Bacillati; Actinomycetota; Actinomycetes; Kitasatosporales; Streptomycetaceae.
ACUCCCAACGGAGGCUGUGAUGGGUAGGGGAGCGUCGUCUGCCGGGUGAAGCGGCACUGGAAGGUAGUCGUGGACGGUUGACGAGUGAGAAUGCAGGCAUGAGUAGCGAUACAAACGUGAGAAACGUUUGCGCCGAUUGACUAAGGGUUCCUGGGUCAAGCUGAUCUGCCCAGGGUAAGUCGGGACCUAAGGCGAGGCCGACAGGCGUAGUCGAUGGAUAACCGGUUGAUAUUCCGGUACCCGCUGUGAAGCGUCAAACAUCGAGCAUCGUGAUGCUAAGGCCGUGAAGCCGUUCCGGACCCUUCGGGGAAUGGAAAGUGGUGGAGCCGCCGAACCAAGCGGUUAGUAGGUGAGUGAUGGGGUGACGCAGGAAGGUAGUCCAUCCCGGGCGGUGGUUGUCCCGGGGUAAGGGUGUAGGACGCAGGGUAGGCAAAUCCGCCCUGCACACAGUCUGAGACCUGAUGCCGAGCCGAUUGUGGUGAAGUGGAUGAUCCUAUGCUGUCGAGAAAAGCCUCUAGCGAGUUUCAUGGCGGCCCGUACCCUAAACCGACUCAGGUGGUCAGGUAGAGAAUACCGAGGCGUUCGGGUGAACUAUGGUUAAGGAACUCGGCAAAAUGCCCCCGUAACUUCGGGAGAAGGGGGGCCACACUCGGUGAUGGGCUUUACGCCUUGAGCUGGGGGUGGCCGCAGAGACCAGCGAGAAGCGACUGUUUACUAAAAACACA